UGCCGCACGAGCAUGCUUUUACGGCACAGUCGAUAGCGCGCCGGACCUCGGGCUCGAGGGUUCGAUACCUGAUCCCUGUUGUUUCAUUACAAUACAUAGCCUAGGUAAUUGUCUGAGAUAGCUAGGUAACAAUAUUUUACUAAUUAGCUACUACUUUACCCAAACAGGAAAUGGCUUCAAUAAUCUUCGCAGAGAGAAAAUGCCACCCUCCAUACACCUGUGCUAAAGACGCGCCAGCGGUUGAUAUCUGCUCCAGGACUGGUAUAUCUUCCACAAAUGCCAUGUUUGCCUGAAGAGGACUUUGAAGUGCUCGAGACAUACACACGUUUGUCUCCAAUGAAGAACCUGCAUAGGAUUUGGGGUUAAAUUCCAUUGUGAGAUUGUCAGUAUAUUGUCAGUCAUAUUUCAAUUUCUCUCCUUUUUUUCUGACAAUUGCACUACGGAAUUGGAUGCCUUCCUUCAAACUAUCAACAGCUGACCAUUGAUCUGCCCCCAGAGAUGAAUGUAUGAGUCUAUAGCUUUGUACAGUUGAAAACUUAAUCUGUAUAAUUGUUUUUUUAUGAAUAAAGUUUUAGCCUGAA
Long non-coding RNA from Oncorhynchus masou masou (cherry salmon), 581 nucleotides. RefSeq lists it as uncharacterized. NCBI's taxonomy places the organism in Eukaryota, Metazoa, Chordata, Actinopteri, Salmoniformes, Salmonidae. The transcript has 2 exons. The record is from RefSeq and is a predicted model, not a curated record.